GGGCAAUCUGCCCUUCACUCUGGGACAAGCCCUGGAAACGGGGUCUAAUACCGGAUAUGACUACUGACCGCAUGGUCGGUGGUGGAAAGCUCCGGCGGUGAAGGAUGAGCCCGCGGCCUAUCAGCUUGUUGGUGGGGUGAUGGCCUACCAAGGCGACGACGGGUAGCCGGCCUGAGAGGGCGACCGGCCACACUGGGACUGAGACACGGCCCAGACUCCUACGGGAGGCAGCAGUGGGGAAUAUUGCACAAUGGGCGAAAGCCUGAUGCAGCGACGCCGCGUGAGGGAUGACGGCCUUCGGGUUGUAAACCUCUUUCAGCAGGGAAGAAGCGAAAGUGACGGUACCUGCAGAAGAAGCGCCGGCUAACUACGUGCCAGCAGCCGCGGUAAUACGUAGGGCGCAAGCGUUGUCCGGAAUUAUUGGGCGUAAAGAGCUCGUAGGCGGCUUGUCGCGUCGGAUGUGAAAGCCCGGGGCUUAACCCCGGGUCUGCAUUCGAUACGGGCAGGCUAGAGUGUGGUAGGGGAGAUCGGAAUUCCUGGUGUAGCGGUGAAAUGCGCAGAUAUCAGGAGGAACACCGGUGGCGAAGGCGGAUCUCUGGGCCAUUACUGACGCUGAGGAGCGAAAGCGUGGGGAGCGAACAGGAUUAGAUACCCUGGUAGUCCACGCCGUAAACGUUGGGAACUAGGUGUUGGCGACAUUCCACGUCGUCGUGCCGCAGCUAACGCAU
RNAcentral lists this ribosomal RNA (728 nucleotides) under Streptomyces sp. MCC-A1. Its description in RNAcentral is "bacterial SSU rRNA". It matches the Rfam family "Bacterial small subunit ribosomal RNA", at positions 119 to 860 of the family's 1533-position model. The record is from RNAcentral. Lineage: Bacteria; Bacillati; Actinomycetota; Actinomycetes; Kitasatosporales; Streptomycetaceae.